Molecule: long non-coding RNA, 1148 nt
Organism: Etheostoma spectabile (orangethroat darter)
Lineage: Eukaryota; Metazoa; Chordata; Actinopteri; Perciformes; Percidae
Exons: 2
Source: RefSeq, a predicted model, not a curated record
CCAGAAUGUAGCAACAAAACUCUUAUUAUGUUUUGCUUAACAGCAGCCACUUUGGCCAAAUACUAACAUGUAGUAAAAGUCAAGUAUACAACCGACUUGAUGAAUGUCAGUAACACAGCGGUAUCUAUCUAAAGUUUGCUACCGUUAGCUAACAUUAGCUACUGGUCAUACCAAGGCUGUAGCAAGGGUGUUUUGUAAUGUAUUAUUUCUUUCAAAAGUUACAUAGUCUUUCUUGUUUUCAUCUUAAGAAACUGAAGUUGGUCUUUGAUGCGUCGUCGUUCACUUAGCCAACUCCAACUGGCUCACAACCCCUUUAGUGUGCAGUAGAUUGUAAAAUGUUAAACCAUGUCUGAAUGUAUCGCUGAGCUGGUGGAAACACCACAAAAACAUUACAAACAUUAAUGUGGAAAUGGUUUUGACAGAGUUGAAUAAUAUUGGAGCUGUACCACGCUGAGUUGUGGUAUUUAUUUAUCUACAGAGUUGAAUGUGUAUAUUGUGUACAUAGAAAGAAUUUAACGAAAAACAAUCUAUUGAAAAUACAUAUAGAUUUUACCUACAUUGCAAUGAUAUUCCUGUGUAAAGACUUUGGCUACUAAUUUUUAAAAAGGGGAUAGGGUUUUUGCUUUGGGUAACUGUAUGCUUUUCUCCCUCGCAGUCCCUGUGACUAUAUGAAAAAAAUACUCUGUCUAUUUUAUUAUUGAGAUCUCUUUGCCUUGUUGACACACUUUACCUAAUUGCAUAUGCAAUAGUGAAUACAAUCUAGUUUAAAACCGUGGAACCAAAUGUGACAUUGCAUUGAUUGAUUGAUUUUCUUUUUGUGGCAAGCAGAAGCUUUUUUUGCUCCUUGUACAUUUCUCUUUCUGCCAAGUGUUUUGUUUUUGUCUCUGGGAACUUUGUUCUUGACAUGUCUCAAAGCGCUUUCCCCAUUUCUGUGUCCAUGGACAGACUUUUCUUUUACAGAUUGAUCUUGGAUUGACUCGGUCUGAAUGUGUUGUUGUCUUCCAUUGUACAUAGUUCAAUAUACUGUUUAUUGUAAUGCUCACAAGAGAUGAUUAUAAUGAUUUAUAAAUUGGUAGUUGAGUAUUGCUUUUGUCUGUAUUGAUUAUGGAUAGCAACCUACAGAAAUAAAUGAUUUAUUUAAAGAGGUA